Molecule: ribosomal RNA, 408 nt
Filed under: uncultured bacterium
Lineage: Bacteria
Description: bacterial SSU rRNA
Rfam family: Bacterial small subunit ribosomal RNA
Source: RNAcentral
UGGGGAAUAUUGCACAAUGGGCGGAAGCCUGAUGCAGCGACGCCGCGUGAGGGAUGACGGCCUUCGGGUUGUAAACCUCUUUCAGCAGGGACGAAGCGCAAGUGACGGUACCUGCAGAAGAAGGCCCGGCUAACUACGUGCCAGCAGCCGCGGUAAGACGUAGGGGCCGAGCGUUGUCCGGAGUUACUGGGCGUAAAGGGCGCGCAGGCGGUCCGCUGCGCCGGACGUGAAAGCCUCCGGCUCAACCGGAGAAGGGCGUCGGGGACGGGCGGACUUGAGGGCGGCAGGGGCUGGUGGAAUGCCCGGUGUAGUGGUGAAAUGCGUAGAGAUCGGGCGGAACACCCGUGGCGAAGGCGGCCAGCUGGGCCGACCCUGACGCUGAGGCGCGAAGGCGUGGGGAGCGAACGG